RNAcentral lists this long non-coding RNA (1437 nucleotides) under Cavia porcellus (domestic guinea pig). RNAcentral describes it as "lncRNA (ENSCPOG00000037857.1)". Lineage: Eukaryota; Metazoa; Chordata; Mammalia; Rodentia; Caviidae. The record is from RNAcentral.
CAUGGCCCCCUUAGCUCUGCGGGCCAUGUCCAGGUUCCGGAACCGCAGGAAGGCACGGGCCGCGCCCUGCCCCCGGGCUGGCCUCUUGCCGGCCACUUCCUCGCUGAUGCCGCGCUUCCCGGAGGCCCCGCGCAGCGCCCCCUGCGACACGACGUGGUCCAGGUUUCCGAUGUGCAGGUUUCGGGUGGCCCGCGGGUCGCCCUCGCAUCCCGCCGCGAGGUCGUAGGGGCGCCCGCGGUCGUGAUCCGGGGCGGCGGCGGAGACGAAGGCUGCGGCAAAGCGGGCACCAGGCUCCUGCUGGGCCGAGGCGGAGGCCGGGGACGCCCGGGCAGGGGCGGGGAGUCCAGCGGGCCGGCGGGGGCGGGCGGCCCGGGCGGCGCGGAGAGGGCGCUGCUGCUGCUACUGCUGGGGCUGCUGCUGGGGCUGCUGCAACCGGGCUGCUGGGGCUGCUGGGGCUGUCGUUGCUGCUGCUGCUCCCGCCGUUCCCGCCGCUUCCGCCUCGCAGGCCCUCGGGCUCCCCCUUCAGCCCAGGGUCCCGUUCCGCAGCAGCCGCGGGCCGCUCAGGGCUGCUCGCGGCCCGGCACAAGGCCACGUAGGACGCGCACCCCAGCCGGGUGCGCGCGACAGAAGCGAGCCGAGCUGCCCGAAGCGCGAAGAGCCGGUCCUCGACGUGCUCUGCGGGCCGCGCGGGGCUCCAACCCGCCGCUUGGGCUCAGGCGGCCGGGCUCGGGGAGGCCUGCGACGGUAGUGUGGCCUCCAAAAAUACUCCUAAAACAGAGCUGUUAAUACUGAAGAGUUAUAGACACCAGCAAUAUUCUGGCAUUGGUCCACUACCUGGUGCCCAGUGUCCCAUCGCCAGUGGCAGAGACCCAGCUAUGGUACUCAGCACAAGCUGGUAUGGACAGUGAUGACUGGCGGCAGCAGUGCCCAGCAGCUGGCAGUGUCCGCUGUUGGCGUCCAGUAUUCCCUAGUAACAUCAGAACUAUUAGAAGAGCUGCAGUUGGCCACUACAUGAUUGCCAUCUGAACUGAGCAAAAGAACCCUAAGCUGACUGGCAGUACCAGGUGGGAACUCAAGCAGGCCUCUUGAUGUUGACAAAUAUUAAGGUGUUUAACACAAACUUUUUAGACUUCAGUAGCAGUGAUCUAUUCACCACAAAAGAGGAACAGCUAGAUCUAUGAACCCAAAAAAAAGAAUUUUUGAAGAAUUGGAAAUUGGCAAGAUGGUCGCACAGUUUGAGAAGCCCUUCACACCAAGGUUAUCUCCAUAUACACUUCUGUGUACUGCAGAGCUCAGAAGAGCACUUAAUUUGGCAUUUCAGAUCUCACUUAAAGCACGGUACCUAAGCUACUUUAAAAUCUCCAUAAAGUAGUCAAGAAAAUCAUAUCUUCCUUUUGUUAUUGUGCUGUUGUUGCUAUUUUGAUCUUACAGGGGAAA